Mesocricetus auratus (golden hamster) is the source of this 850-nucleotide long non-coding RNA. RefSeq lists it as uncharacterized. The transcript is spliced from 4 exons. The record is from RefSeq and is a predicted model, not a curated record. NCBI's taxonomy places the organism in Eukaryota, Metazoa, Chordata, Mammalia, Rodentia, Cricetidae.
AGAGACAGAGAGAAAAAGAGAGACAGAGAGAGAGGGAGAGAGAGAGAAAGAGAGAGAGAGAGAGAGAAUUUGCGGGGGAGACGAGAUGGGGUGGUGCUGAGAUCACACCUUGAUCCUGGGCUCUGGCCCUCCCGUGAACAGUGGGAAGAUAAAACUGCUCUCUUUCUGUCCACCCAGUCUGUGGUUCUUCAUCACAGCCGCCUGGACAGACGAACAUGCAAGGCAGAAGGGGAAACAUUUCUCUGAAGAACUAACUAGGUUUCCCCCACAGUCUUACAAGACAGAAGAAACUAUGCAUCUGAAGCCCAAUAUUAACCCAAAGAACAACAAUGAGGAACUCCACAGUCAAAUGCUCAGAAGGCGACCACGUGAACUGAGGAAAGAAGAAAGGUUAUAAGCUUUCAUUUAAGAAGCACUUUCCUGUACCUCCAGGAAAGAAAUGUCCUUCAAUGUCAAUCCCCGGGAUUCAGAGGACGAUUUGAACAUGCGGGUGAUUUGAACACGCGGGGUUUGCUAACUCCUAACUUCAUUGCCUACAUCUUAUUCCCCUCACUUCUCUACGACCACCUCCUCAUCACACCUAGCAACAUACAUGUGUGAUUCCAGCGCUUGGCAAGCAGAGGCAGGUGGAUGGCCUGCCCUCCAGCUGCCAGCCCAGAACCUCCGCUGACGUCAUCUACGAGGUUGGUCCUCUCCUCCUGUUUUACUUACUUUUCUGUUGCUGUGGUGAAAUGUGGUUGAUGCUGCAAUGAUGGACGGCACACUUACUGAAGUAAAAGUAAGUAUUCAUUGUACAAAUUACUCACAAGAGACAAACAAGUAACCCAGAUGAGCCAAGUACUUUUCCGCC